This is a non-coding RNA of Arenibacter sp., 129 nucleotides long. Lineage: Bacteria; Pseudomonadati; Bacteroidota; Flavobacteriia; Flavobacteriales; Flavobacteriaceae. The record is from Rfam.
GUCAAGCCAUGGAAGCCGGGAGUGCCUGAAGUCCGUCACCGCAAGGAGCGGCCUAGGGCAAGAUCGGUAACUAGGGCUAAGUCGUAACAAGGUAGCCGUACCGGAAGGUGCGGCUGGAACACCUCCUUU